This 895-nucleotide ribosomal RNA is filed under the name uncultured archaeon. Its description in RNAcentral is "bacterial SSU rRNA". It matches the Rfam family "Archaeal small subunit ribosomal RNA", at positions 21 to 903 of the family's 1478-position model. The record is from RNAcentral.
CCCGACUGCUAUUUGGGUGAGAAUAAGCCAUGCGAGUUGAAUGGGAUACCUAAAGUUCCCAUAGCAAACUGCUCAGUAACACAUGAUCAACUUACCCUAUAGAGAAAAAUAACCUCGGGAAACUGAGGAUAAUGUUUCAUAAUUGAAUUGGCUUGGAAAAGUUUUUCAAUGAAAAGGAUAAAAAAAAUGGUUUUUAUCUGCUAUAGGAUAGGAUCGUGUUCGAUUAUGGUUGUUGGUGAGAUAAUGGCUCACCAAGCCGAUAAUCGAUAGGGGCCGUGAGAGCGGGAGCCCCGAGAUGGGUACUGAGACAACGACCCAGGCCUUACGAGGCGCAGCAGGCGCGGAACCUCCGCAAUACACGAAAGUGUGACGGGGUUACCCAAAGUGUUCAAUAGAACUGUGGUAGGUGAGUAAUGUCCCCUACUAAAAAGGAGAGGGCAAGCUGGUGCCAACCGCCGCGGUAAAACCAGCUCUUCAAGUGGUCGGGAUAAUUAUUGGGCUUAAAGUGUCCGUGAGCCGGUUUAGUAAGUUCCUGGUAAAAUCGGGUAGCUUAACUAUCUGCAUGCUAGGAAUACUGCUAUACUAGAGGGCGGGAGAGGUCUGAGGUACUACAGGGGUAGGGGUGAAAUCUUAUAAUCCUUGUAGGACCACCAGUGGCGAAGGCGUCAGACUGGAACGCGCCUGACGGUGAGGGACGAAAGCCAGGGGAGCGAACCGGAUUAGAUACCCGGGUAGUCCUGGCCCGUAAACGAUGCAUACUAGGUGAUGGUACGGCCAUGAGCCGUAUCAGUGCCGUAGGGAAACCGUUAAGUGUGCCGCCUGGGAAGUACGGUCGCAAGGCUAAAACUUAAAGGAAUUGGCGGGGAGCACGACAAGGGUGUGAAGCCUGCGGUUC